Molecule: ribosomal RNA, 88 nt
Filed under: Bryoria sp. Wang 04-23192
Lineage: Eukaryota; Fungi; Ascomycota; Lecanoromycetes; Lecanorales; Parmeliaceae
Description: partial 28S ribosomal RNA
Rfam family: Eukaryotic large subunit ribosomal RNA
Source: RNAcentral
UUGACCUCGGAUCAGGUAGGGAUACCCGCUGAACUUAAGCAUAUCAAUAAGCGGAGGAAAAAAAACCAACAGGGAUUGCUCAUACGAG